This is an RNA transcript of Centruroides sculpturatus (bark scorpion), 2469 nucleotides long. It is a transcript of the gene named 5-exo-hydroxycamphor dehydrogenase-like, with no coding region annotated. The transcript has 7 exons. Lineage: Eukaryota; Metazoa; Arthropoda; Arachnida; Scorpiones; Buthidae. The record is from RefSeq and is a predicted model, not a curated record.
AAAUAACGAAAAUGCAUUAUAAAUGAAUAAUUUAUCAAAUUUAAUAAGAAAUUUCGACAAAAAUAAACACGUAAUCGCUGACGUUGCUCUAAACCGAUCACAAACGAAAAGACGAAGGCAGUUAUCCAUCUAUCGGAGGGAAAUGUAAACAAAGAAUGGCCGAAAAAUCCAGAGAAGGGCAUAGGAUAGUAUUCAUGGGCUCAAACAAACAGCCCAAUUACAUCAUAGAUACGUUCGAUGUUCCUACGGCAUCCGAACUUAAAGAAGGGCAAAUAUUGGUUAAAAUCCUUCUGGCUACCAUAUGCCCCAACGACCUGUUAACUAUAAUAGGUAAAGGGGAGGACACUACACCAUGUCUCUUAGGUCACGAGGGUGUAGCUCAGGUCAUCUGCAGCAAACGUGAUGCUGCCGAGUGUAAAUUAUCACCCGGAGAUAGAGUGGUGUUUACUGCAACCGAAUUUUGCCCGAAGUGCAAGAUGACAUCGUGCCAUCAUUACGCGAAGUAUGGUAAAGCUCCCAUCAACCGCUGUGGUUCCAAUGGUACUUUCUCUACUCAUUUGAUACUCGAAGGUGAUAGAGAUGUGAUCAGGAUAUCGCCUACGUUACCCGACCGCUUGGUCGCGUCAGCUAAUUGCGCGCUUGCAACCAUUAUAGGAGCCGUGCAACCAGUAAUACCAGCUAAAAAGGAUGCCGUUGCGGUUAUACAGGGAGCAGGAUUGUUCGGUAUAUAUUCUUGUGCAGCUCUUUACCGUGGCGGCUACAAAGUUUAUUGCCUGGACGUGAAGGAAGAACGACUCAAACUGGUUCCUAAAUUCGGCGGCAUACCCAUCCUAACAAAAGACAAUCAAACGGGAGAUUGGUACAAAGAAGAUUCUGUAGAUGUUGUUAUCGAAGUCUGUGGUGAUAAAGAAGUCUUCCAAACGGCUUUGAACCUCUUGAGACCAGGCGGCGUAUACAUCCUCAUAGGUCUUUCAGGAAAAGAGGCAGAGUUAUCUCUUCCAGUGGAUAUCUUAAUCAAGAAGUGCCUUACAGUUAGAGGAUGCCAGGGCUAUACAUCAUCCGAUCUGCGACAGGCUAUUGAGUUCCUGGAGCUGACUAGGGAUCAGCAUCCUUACGAGGAAUUGUUAAGUGGUAACUUCAGCAUACAAGAUUUUCAUUAUGCCAUAUCUGCAGCCAAAUCGCAACUCUUUCAUCGCGUAGCUCUAUCUCCUUCUAUGUCGCGCCUUCGUUAUUAACUCUAUUUUUUCGUAACAAAUAAUAAAUAAAUCAGUGUUCUGCUAUUUUUAUUAUCACGUCAUCAGACAAUAAAAAUCCUCAACAAUAGUUCACAGCAAUGGUUCUUUCUCGAUUUACUAAGAUAUACAAUUGCGUGAAAAUCAAUUUUAAGUUAGUGAAUUAUCACAUAGAUUUCUCACUUAAUGAUUUAAAUAUCUUUACCUUUAUUUUCGAAUAUGCCGAAUACUACACAGGAAUAUCUCGAGUCAUGUGGUUCUUAAGUACGUAGUCAUUCUUUAAGAAUUAUCUUAUCGAGUUUAUCCUACAUCUUUAAUUAUUGUUUAGUCUUUUAUGUACUUCUCGUAAUGAGUUUCAUAAUGGAAUAUACAGGAGAAUUAACUUGCACUGCUGCAAUGUGUGUGUAUCCCGCUUUUAUGUCGUGAGUUCUCUGUUUUUAAAUAUUUUUUGUCACUGUAUUUUGAAAUCCUAAAAAUCUUGCCUCUCACAGACUUUACGCUGUCGAAUAUGAAGAAAUCGAAGAACAUUCUAGACUUCUAGUAUUCUGGAUAAUUUUCGCAAUUUUUGUUCUUCUAGAGCAUGCAAUACGGAAUAUUCUUAAUAAAUUAAUAUAUUAUUGGUGUCUUAAAGUAAGUCGCUAUCACAUUUAUUAUUAUAUCGGUAUCGAGCUGUACUAAAUGGUAACUUUUCUUGAAGUUUCUUCUCUUUUCAUGGCUGUACUCUUCGUGGUUAAAUUCAUCCUCCAGAUACUUAUAUUAUAACAUAAUUCGUCCCUUUUAUCGGAAAUCUAUAGGAAAUCAGAAAAAGGUGGUUGACAGCAAGAUCAAGGCAUCCAUUUUCGUACGAAGAUCUACCCAGAUGAACUUAUUCAAAACAAGGAAAUCGUUUAAAAUAACGAUGAAAAAUAUUUCGCGCAAUAAAUCUGAAGCUACGACAGCUCCAAAAUUUGUGGAUGAAGAUGAAAGUUACUAAAAAGUCUGAAGAAACUUUUUUCCCUACUUAUAAAUGCACUGAAGGUACGAAUAAUGGUUCCAAUAAACAAAAUUUUGAUUUAAAUUAAAAGUAUGUCGAUAAAUUUCGUUUUAAAGUAAAUUUUCAAGAGUAUUUUGAAUGAAUAAAUUUAUAUUUAGUGCUUUUUAACUUCAUUUUUUAGUUAAGAGAACGUGUAUUGUAUCUAUUUUUAUUUAAUUUAAUAAUUGUUACUACUAAUGAAGUCAUUUUAUCGCUGGAAAUUAU